GGGGUUGUGGCUCAAGUGGUAGAGUGCUCGCCUAAGACACGUGAGGUACUGGGUUCGAUCCUCAGCACCACA
RNAcentral lists this transfer RNA (72 nucleotides) under Marmota monax (woodchuck). RNAcentral's name for it is "tRNA.Leu". Lineage: Eukaryota; Metazoa; Chordata; Mammalia; Rodentia; Sciuridae. The record is from RNAcentral.